UACGUAGGGUGCAAGCGUUGUCCGGAAUUAUUGGGCGUAAAGAGCUCGUAGGCGGUUUGUCGCGUCUGCUGUGAAAUCUUAGGGCUUAACCCUGAGCUUGCAGUGGGUACGGGCAGACUAGAGUGCGGUAGGGGAGACUGGAACUCCUGGUGUAGCGGUGAAAUGCGCAGAUAUCAGGAGGAACACCGGUGGCGAAGGCGGGUCUCUGGACCGUAACUGACGCUGAGGAGCGAAAGCAUGGGGAGCGAACGGG
Molecule: ribosomal RNA, 253 nt
Filed under: uncultured bacterium
Lineage: Bacteria
Description: partial 16S ribosomal RNA
Rfam family: Bacterial small subunit ribosomal RNA
Source: RNAcentral